GGCCGAGUGGCGGAAAGGCAGACGCUGGGGACUUAAAAUCCCCUGCCCGUUUCGGGCGUAUGGGUUCGACUCCCAUCUCGGCCA
Molecule: transfer RNA, 84 nt
Filed under: Phycisphaerae bacterium
Lineage: Bacteria; Pseudomonadati; Planctomycetota; Phycisphaerae
Also listed under: 1 other name
Description: tRNA-Leu
Rfam family: tRNA
About the family: Transfer RNA (tRNA) molecules are approximately 80 nucleotides in length. Their secondary structure includes four short double-helical elements and three loops (D, anti-codon, and T loops). Further hydrogen bonds mediate the characteristic L-shaped molecular structure. tRNAs have two regions of fundamental functional importance: the anti-codon, which is responsible for specific mRNA codon recognition, and the 3' end, to which the tRNAs corresponding amino acid is attached (by aminoacyl-tRNA synthetases). tRNAs cope with the degeneracy of the genetic code in two manners: having more than one tRNA (with a specific anti-codon) for a particular amino acid; and 'wobble' base-pairing, i.e. permitting non-standard base-pairing at the 3rd anti-codon position.
Source: RNAcentral